ACCUGGUUGAUCCUGCCAGUAGUCAUAUGCUUGUCUCAAAGAUUAAGCCAUGCAUGUCUAAGUAUAAACUGAUUUUAUACGGUGAAACUGCGAAUGGCUCAUUAAAUCAGUUAUAGUUUAUCCGAUUGUGCCGUUGUGAAUCGGAUUACCGUCCGGUUCGCUCCUACUUGGAUAACCGUGGUAAUUCUAGGGCUAAUACAUGCAAAAAAGGCCGACUGGAGGGGGAAAGGGUAAGGGGGUAUGGGCUUGCUCGUGCCUACCGCCCCUCCCAUUCUUCGGAAGGCCUGCAUUUAUUGGCAAAAAACCCGGUCUUUGAAAUCUGGUGAUCCACAAUAACCGCGCGAAUCGCACUCGGCCUUUUGAGCCGGCGAUGGAUCGAAUAAAUUUCUGCCCUAUCAACUAGAUGGCAGGGUAGUGGCCUGCCAUGGUGAUAACGGGUAACGGAGAAUUAGGGUUCGAUUCCGGAGAGGGAGCCUGAGAAACGGCUGCCACUUCCAAGGAAGGCAGCAGGCGCGUAAAUUACCCAAUCCCGACACGGGGAGGUAGUGACAAGAAAUAACAAUGCUCGCCCUGCACAAGGGCGAGCAAUUGGAAUGAGUACAAUUUAAAUCCUUUAACGAGGAACUAUUCGAGGGCAAGUCUGGUGCCAGCAGCCGCGGUAAUUCCAGCUCGAAUAGCGUAUAUUAAAGUUGCUGCAGUUAAAAAGCUCGUAGUUGGAUUUCGGGGCAGUUCCAAAAGGCGCGGUCCCGCUCCCCUAAAAAGGAGCUCGUACUGCGCCUUUCUGCCCUUACCUUGGGGAGACUUCAUUCGUCCCGCCCUUCAUUUCCUUCUUUUUUCACACCAUCUCUUUCGGGGGAUGGCGCUGAGGAGAAGGGAGAGGGAUCUUGGGAAGGGUGAUGUCUGCCUGGGGUGUUCGAUCAGUGGCUCGCCUCCGGCUCUUUACUGAGCUCCGGAGGUAUUCCCUCCACCAGUUUUGUGGGCGCUCUUGCUCCCUUCUCCUGGCCCUCUCGGGGGUUGGGGGGAGGACCUGGAAGAGCCAACCCCGUCUGGUCAAGGUAGGGUUUUGUUUCCGCCUCAUCUGGUCCUUUCUUCUUUCCGCUUUGUUUCAUCAACUCUCCCACUUGGUUUUUUUCUCUUCUCGGGCGCAAGCUGCAGAUGGAGGGAUCAUUCCUUGUGGAACCGGGGGCUGUUGGCAGGGCGGAUAUCAGGGAGGAAGGUCUAUUUUCAGGUGAGGAAAAAAUAUUUAUUUUUUUAAAGGAAGCAGAGCUCUGGUCCGUUUACCUUGAAUAAAUUAAAGUGUUCAAAGCAGGCUUCAAUUGAAAAGCCAUGAAUACGUUAGCAUGGGAUAAUGGAAUAGGACUUUGGUCUUAUUUUGUUGGUUUUUUUCUUUGUCUUCCAAGACCGAAGUAAUGAUUAACAGGGACAGUCGGGGGCAUUUGUAUUUAAUUGUCAGAGGUGAAAUUCUUGGAUCAAUUAAAGACAAACUUCAGCGAAAGCAUUUGUCAAGGAUGUUUUCAUUAAUCAAGAACGAAAGUUAGGGGAUCGAAGAUGAUCAGAUACCGUCGUAGUCC
Molecule: ribosomal RNA, 1571 nt
Filed under: uncultured soil eukaryote
Lineage: Eukaryota
Description: partial small subunit ribosomal RNA
Rfam family: Eukaryotic small subunit ribosomal RNA
Source: RNAcentral